This 202-nucleotide ribosomal RNA is filed under the name Chlamydia avium. Its description in RNAcentral is "partial 16S ribosomal RNA". It matches the Rfam family "Bacterial small subunit ribosomal RNA", at positions 57 to 249 of the family's 1533-position model. The record is from RNAcentral. Lineage: Bacteria; Pseudomonadati; Chlamydiota; Chlamydiia; Chlamydiales; Chlamydiaceae.
GCAAGUCGAACGGAAUAAUANUUCGGUAUUAUUUAGUGGCGGAAGGGUUAGUAAUACAUAGAUAAUUUGUCCUUAACUUGGGAAUAACGGCUGGAAACGGCCGCUAAUACCGAAUGUGGUAUGUUUAGGCAUCUAAAGCAUAUUAAAGAAGGGGAUCUUCGGACCUUUCGGUUAAGGGAGAGUUUAUGGGAUAUCAGCUUGU